RNAcentral lists this ribosomal RNA (497 nucleotides) under uncultured bacterium. Its description in RNAcentral is "partial 16S ribosomal RNA". It matches the Rfam family "Bacterial small subunit ribosomal RNA", at positions 28 to 507 of the family's 1533-position model. The record is from RNAcentral.
GAUGAACGCUGGCGGCGUGCCUAAUACAUGCAAGUCGAGCGAACAGACGAGGAGCUUGCUCCUCUGACGUUAGCGGCGGACGGGUGAGUAACACGUGGAUAACCUACCUAUAAGACUGGGAUAACUUCGGGAAACCGGAGCUAAUACCGGAUAAUAUAUUGAACCGCAUGGUUCAAUAGUGAAAGACGGUUUUGCUGUCACUUAUAGAUGGAUCCGCGCCGCAUUAGCUAGUUGGUAAGGUAACGGCUUACCAAGGCAACGAUGCGUAGCCGACCUGAGAGGGUGAUCGGCCACACGGGAACUGAGACACGGUCCAGACUCCUACGGGAGGAAGCAGUAGGGAAUCUUCCGCAAUGGGCGAGAGCCUGACGGAGCAACGCCGCGUGAGUGAUGAAGGUCUUCGGAUCGUAAAACUCUGUUAUUAGGGAAGAACAAAUGUGUAAGUAACUAUGCACGUCUUGACGGUACCUAAUCAGAAAGCCACGGCUAACUACGUG